Molecule: long non-coding RNA, 1834 nt
Filed under: Coffea arabica (coffee)
Lineage: Eukaryota; Viridiplantae; Streptophyta; Magnoliopsida; Gentianales; Rubiaceae
Description: long non-coding RNA (CARA_LNC008120)
Source: RNAcentral
UACGGGGGUUGACUUCUAACUUUUCGACUUCGAUUUUCCCUUGGAUUAGAAGGCGAAACUAGCGUGCUAAGGCUAUCGAGUAGCCACACUCGCUCGUUUCCCUUAUCGGAGGGGGACACUCAAGCAAAAUGAACCCUAUAGCUAGUAUGGGAUGCAAAACCUAAAAUGAGAGGAAAAGGGGUUUGAGGAUCAUGCCAAAUGAUAAAACUAAGGAAAAUGCGUGAUAUGUGGUGAACAAGCAAAUGAUGUACUAUCGAGGGAAAAUCCCUAAGGGUCUAGCGUUGGACUAGCCCAUUCUAUGAAUUCCGACUAGCGUUGGACUAGUGGAAACGAUAAAAGAAGCCACAACUAGCGUUGGACUAGUGUGGUGACGUACAUUCAUCCAUUCCAUUCAUCCACACUAUGGAAAGCAAGUAGACAUGUCGAACACUUGUAAACACAUAGCACGUAACACUGAGCAUGCUCGACUAGAUGCAAGGCCCUAACAAAGCAAAUUAACACGUAGCAACUAAGCAUGCAAGACACAUAAGACAAUUAAAGCCCUAACUAUUACAUUUGCUAGCUAGGCACACGUCUUCGAUAGGUCUUCAUUGAAUGCUCCUCCAAGCCCUAUCUAUUACAUUCACUAACUAAAACAAAAGGGGGAAAGGGAAAAUGGACCAAAUUACUCGCCAAAGCCCUAUCUAUUACAAGCCAAGAGGUGUACACAUACCCCAUAAUGAAUAAUUUAAAUAAAAGUAAAAGUAGAUGAAAUAAAUGCAAGGAAUUAAGGGAAGGCAAGAAAAGCGAAGUAGACAUGCAUAUUCACAUAACACGUAGGAGCACGUAGGGUCAAAUGAAGUGCAAAUAUAAGGGGUAGAAUGUACCUCCCUUGAAAUGGAGCUCUGAUGGGGUGAAGUCAUUUAUUUACCCUCCAAAAUAAUAAACGAGUCAAGGCAUCACUUUAUUUAACAAAUAAUCAUAAAAAAUAAAAUGGUAAACUUGAAAUUGAAUCAGUUGAAUCAUGUAAGCAACUCACAUUCAAGAAGUCAAAAGAAGAAAGGACUUGAUUGCACAAAUUAACAAAGUUUGGAGGUCAAAAUUAAAGAAAAAUAAAGUUCAGGGGCCCAUUUGUAAUUAAGUUAGGGACCCAAUUGAAAGAAAUGAAAAGUGUCCAGGGCCACAGUAUAGUUAAGGAAAAAUUCAGGGACUGAUUUGCAAAAUUGUUUUCUGGUUUCUUAAUGGACCAAACCUAUUGGGCUAUUUUAUUUAUUUGUUUGGGCCAAAGAUCAUUCGGCCCAGUCGGAACUCUAGCAAAACAGAUGGACUAGUCUACUAUUCUGACCUCAAGAAUGAUCCAACAAAACUGAUGGGCUUUAACCCUUCAGCCCAACGGAAGUCCGAAACAAAAAGGAAUGGGCCAACCUAUUAUUUAUGUCAAGUAAACCCAAUAAAAUGCAUGGGCCUUAAACCCCCAAGCCCAAACCAAAACCCAAAAGAAAAUAAACUAAAUCCAAGUUUACAAACCCAACCAAAAUAACCUCUCAGCCCAAACCAUCUAUUUCACUAAAAAAACAACAUGAAAAAACAAAUAAAAUUGUUAAAACAUAAUUAUGAUCUAACAGCAGGAAUUAAUCUAUCCAAAAGACUAGUCAAAAAAGAUUAAAAGAUGAUUAACGUCUAAAAAAAAGGUCAAAAUAAAUCCAAUUUCUUUAAUUUUUAGGGGUCAGAACACAACAAGGGGAAAGAUUAAUUCAGGGCCUGAUCGUAAGAGCAGUCAAAUCAUUCGGGCCGUGGUGAAAUUAGACAAACUUGGGGGGUAAAAAAAUUCAGAAAUUUAUGUUUCAUGAUUCGC